RNAcentral lists this ribosomal RNA (404 nucleotides) under Fusobacteriota bacterium. Its description in RNAcentral is "Fusobacteria bacterium partial 16S ribosomal RNA". It matches the Rfam family "Bacterial small subunit ribosomal RNA", at positions 355 to 776 of the family's 1533-position model. Lineage: Bacteria; Fusobacteriati; Fusobacteriota. The record is from RNAcentral.
UGGGGAAUAUUGCACAAUGGAGGGAACUCUGAUGCAGCGACGCCGCGUGAGUGAUGAAGGACUUCGUUUCGUAAAACUCUGUUCUAUGGGAAGAAAAGGACUGUACCAUAGGAGAAAGCUCCGGCUAAAUACGUGCCAGCAGCCGCGGUAAUACGUAUGGAGCGAGCGUUGUCCGGAAUUAUUGGGCGUAAAGGGUGCGCAGGCGGCUCUACAAGUUGGAUGUGAAAUAUUGUGGCUCAACCACAAACGUGCAUCCAAAACUGCAAAGCUUGAGUUAAGGAGAGGUAAGUGGAAUUCCUGGUGUAGCGGUGGAAUGCGUAGAUAUCAGGAGGAAUACCGGUGGCGAAGGCGACUUACUGGACUUAAACUGACGCUCAGGCACGAAAGCGUGGGGAGCAAACAGG